UACGUAGGGGGCAAGCGUUAUCCGGAAUUAUUGGGCGUAAAGAGUGCGUAGGUGGUUACCUAAGCGCAAGGUUUAAUCUCGAGGCUCAACCUCAUUCUGCCUUGCGAACUGGGCUACUUGAGUGCAGGAGGGGAAAGCGGAAUUCCUAGUGUAGCGGUGAAAUGCGUAGAUAUUAGGAAGAACACCGGUGGCGAAGGCGGCUUUCUGGACUGUAACUGACACUGAGGCACGAAAGCGUGGGGAGCAAACAGGAUUAGAUACCCUGGUAGUCCCUGA
Molecule: ribosomal RNA, 276 nt
Filed under: uncultured prokaryote
Description: partial 16S ribosomal RNA
Rfam family: Bacterial small subunit ribosomal RNA
Source: RNAcentral